GAAAGAUGGCUUUGGCUAUCACUCUGGGAUGGACCUGCGGUGCAUUAGCUAGUUGGUAAGGUAACGGCUUACCAAGGCGAUGAUGCAUAGCCGAGUUGAGAGACUGAUCGGCCACAAUGGAACUGAGACACGGUCCAUACUCCUACGGGAGGCAGCAGUAGGGAAUCUUCCACAAUGGGCGCAAGCCUGAUGGAGCAACACCGCGUGAGUGAAGAAGGGUUUCGGCUCGUAAAGCUCUGUUGUUGGAGAAGAACGUGCGUGAGAGUAACUGUUCACGCAGUGACGGUAUCCAACCAGAAAGUCACGGCUAACUACGUGCCAGCAGCCGCGGUAAUACGUGGGUGGCAAGCGUUAUCCGGAUUUAUUGGGCGUAAAGCGAGCGCAGGCGGUUGCUUAGGUCUGAUGUGAAAGCCUUCGGCUUAACCGAAGAAGUGCAUCGGAAACCGGGCGACUUGAGUGCAGAAGAGGACAGUGGAACUCCAUGUGUAGCGGUGGAAUGCGUAGAUAUAUGGAAGAACACCAGUGGCGAAGGCGGCUGUCUGGUCUGCAACUGACGCUGAGGCUCGAAAGCAUGGGUAGCGAACAGGAUUAGAUACCCUGGUAGUCUAUGCCGUAAACGAUGAGUGCUAGGUGUUGGAGGGUUUCCGCCCUUCA
Molecule: ribosomal RNA, 654 nt
Filed under: uncultured bacterium
Lineage: Bacteria
Description: bacterial SSU rRNA
Rfam family: Bacterial small subunit ribosomal RNA
Source: RNAcentral